This 516-nucleotide long non-coding RNA is filed under the name Ananas comosus (pineapple). RNAcentral describes it as "long non-coding RNA (ACOM_LNC035834)". The record is from RNAcentral. Lineage: Eukaryota; Viridiplantae; Streptophyta; Magnoliopsida; Poales; Bromeliaceae.
GAAGAGCCUAAUUUAUUACGUACACUUGACGGCGGCGCCGCCAGUGACACUGCCACCACCUGACGCUCUACCGCUUCUCGUCGCCAUCGACCGCAACGGCGUUGAAGAGGUGCUCCCGGAGGAGGUCAACAGUGGCGAGACGGCGGAGGCGACGACAAUCGACAAAGAGGGCAAAAAAGGAGAGGGCUGGGAGGAGGAGAAGGAGGAGGAUGAGAAUAGAUGAGUUGUGGAGGAGGUGAGUUAGAGUCAAGGACGCAUGUGAAAAGGAAAAAUGCCCGAACGGGCAAUAUGGGGAGGAGAAUAGGGGAAGGGAGAAGUAGGUGAACAUCUGAUAAGAUGUUACGGUGAGGAAAAGAAAAUCUACAGUGCCGCAAAUACUCAAACCCUAAAAGUGGCAUCCCCUUAUUUUAGUGGAUUGUGGAGCCCACAUACAAUUUUUUUAAGAAUUAAUUGCACAUUGGUCCCGAACCUUUCUAUUAUUUUUUUAUUUUGGCCUCCCCUUUCAUCAUCAGCAAC